Molecule: transfer RNA, 73 nt
Organism: Camelus ferus (Wild Bactrian camel)
Lineage: Eukaryota; Metazoa; Chordata; Mammalia; Artiodactyla; Camelidae
Rfam family: tRNA
About the family: Transfer RNA (tRNA) molecules are approximately 80 nucleotides in length. Their secondary structure includes four short double-helical elements and three loops (D, anti-codon, and T loops).
Source: Rfam
GAGGGUAUAGCUCAAGUGGUAGAGUAUGUGCUUAGCAUGCACAAGGUCCUGGGUUCAAACCCCAGUACCUCUU